RNAcentral lists this ribosomal RNA (258 nucleotides) under uncultured bacterium. RNAcentral's name for it is "partial 16S ribosomal RNA". It matches the Rfam family "Bacterial small subunit ribosomal RNA", at positions 524 to 776 of the family's 1533-position model. The record is from RNAcentral.
CACGUAGGGGGCGAGCGUUGUCCGGAUUUAUUGGGCGUAAAGAGCUCGUAGGCGGCUCGGUAAGUCAGGUGUGAAAACUCUAGGCUCAACCUAGAGACGCCACCUGAUACUGCUGUGGCUAGAGUCCGGUAGGGGAGCAUGGAAUUCCUGGUGUAGCGGUGAAAUGCGCAGAGAUCGGGGAGGAACACCCGUGGCGAAGGCGGCCAUCUGGACCAGCACUGACGCUGAGGCACGAAAAGCGUGGGGGAGCCGAACAGG